UACGGAGGGUGCGAGCGUUGUCCGGAAUCACUGGGCGUAAAGGGAGCGUAGGCGGCGCGGUAAGUCAGAUGUGAAAUCCCGGGGCUCAACCCCGGAACUGCAUCCGAUACUGCCGUGCUAGAGGAUUGGAGAGGUAGCUGGAAUUCUUGGUGUAGCAGUGAAAUGCGUGGAGAUCAAAGAGGAACACUCGUGGCGAAAGCGAGCUACUGGACAAUAUCUGACGCUGAGGCUCGAAGGCCAGGGUAGCGAAAGGG
RNAcentral lists this ribosomal RNA (254 nucleotides) under uncultured bacterium. RNAcentral describes it as "partial 16S ribosomal RNA". It matches the Rfam family "Bacterial small subunit ribosomal RNA", at positions 524 to 776 of the family's 1533-position model. The record is from RNAcentral.